UGCAGUAUUAUGUAUUAGCACUUCGAAGUUCUAUAUGUUUUACUAUUAACCUAUGUAAAUUCAGGCAAUUUCAAUUCAAAAUAUUUUUUAUUACCAGACCCGUACAAUCACAAUGAUUGCAAAUAUAAAUACUAAGCAAAUAGAAAUUUCAGGUUUAAGACUUCGUCUGGUGGGUUUUUUUGUCUACUGGUCAAAAUUCCAUUCCAAAGAUUCUGUUGCUUUGUUCAUGAAAGAACACAAUUUACAGAGUUACUUCCCCUAGCAGAACUCUUUUGAUGUAAACAAUACUGAUGUCAUGCAUGUGGCAGACAAUAUUGAACUGUAGUUUUUCAAUCUUAUCUGACGAUGAAUGAGGGAAUUUACAGUAUUCUAUGGAUGAAAAGACAACACGGUUAUUGGACAAUGUAAUAGAAUUGUUGAACCACUUCCCUAGGAUUAAAUAUUCAAAAUUAGACAAAAAUCAAGUCGGAGGGAAAAUUGACUUUUUACAAUAUUGGGAUCUUUUCCCACUUACAUGAACAUUCAUACUUUGUUUGUCCAAAACACCAACAAACCCUAGGAAUAUGCAUGAGAUUAAGAGAAGGAAUGUUGGUUGUACACAACCGUCUCACAAAGGAAGGAUCAAAGCCAGGCAGAGCAGUGUCAAUCCAGAUGAGCAGGGCCUUUUUCUAGGUUCUAAACACAAGGGAUUUGCUGAAUUGCAGUCGUGAUUUGUUAAGACACAUACCUUUGAUAUUUGAAAGAACUGUUUACAGAAGACUAUUGAAUUGCACAGGAUUGAUGAUUAAAAGAUUCAACUACAGUUCAAUGAGGCUCAGCAUAUUGUGUUGCCAAUAUUGCGCACUUGAGUAGGAAGUUCAAAAUGUUUGUAGCAAAUGGACAUAAGUAAAUAGCGUGCCUUCAAAUUGACCAACAUUUCUGAAGUGAAGGAUGACAACUUAGCCUCUAUUUGUUGGGAAAUUUUAUAACCAUGGUUGAACCUAAAGAACAGAUAUACAAAACCUGAAUGACAGAUAAAAUAAUAAGACAUGAUAAAUAUAAGAAGACUCUGAAAAGUCUGAAAACUUAAAUCAGGAAUUACAUGUAUGUGACAGAAGUUUUUAAAAACAUUUGAAUGUUGAGAUUGGUUGAGUAUCUCAAUGAUAAGAACUUGCAUUCUGCAAUCAGAAUUUGGAAGAGCUUUUCCUGUAUUAGCAUAAAUAAAUCUCUAAUUUGGUCAGUUACUUUUAAAAAUAUUAUAAUAAAUGAAUGCAAUAAUUUG
This is a long non-coding RNA of Mytilus californianus (California mussel), 1261 nucleotides long. RefSeq lists it as uncharacterized. The record is from RefSeq and is a predicted model, not a curated record. The transcript is spliced from 3 exons. Lineage: Eukaryota; Metazoa; Mollusca; Bivalvia; Mytilida; Mytilidae.